GAUGAACGCUGGCGGCGUGCCUAAUACAUGCAAGUCGAGCGAACGGACGAGAAGCUUGCUUCUCUGAUGUUAGCGGCGGACGAGUGAGUAACACGUGGAUAACCUACCUAUAAGACUGGGAUAACUUCGGGAAACCGGAGCUAAUACCGGAUAAUAUUUUGAACCGCAUGGUUCAAAAGUGAAAGACGGUCUUGCUGUCACUUAUAGAUGGAUCCGCUCUGCAUUAGCUAGUUGGUAAGGUAACGGCUUACCAAGGCAACGAUGCAUAGCCGACCUGAGAGGGUGAUCGGCCACACUGGAACUGAGACACGGUCCAGACUCCUACGGGAGGCAGCAGUAGGGAAUCUUCCGCAAUGGGCGAAAGCCUGACGGAGCAACGCCGCGUGAGUGAUGAAGGUCUUCGGAUCGUAAAACUCUGUUAUUAGGGAAGAACAUAUGUGUAAGUAACUGUGCACAUCUUGACGGUACCUAAUCAGAAAGCCACGGCUAACUACGUG
This 497-nucleotide ribosomal RNA is filed under the name uncultured bacterium. RNAcentral describes it as "partial 16S ribosomal RNA". It matches the Rfam family "Bacterial small subunit ribosomal RNA", at positions 28 to 507 of the family's 1533-position model. The record is from RNAcentral.